UUCCGUAGGUGGAACCUGCGGAGGGAUCAUUAUAGAGUUGCCCUAACUCCCAAACCCAUGUGAACCUACCUCGCGUUGCCUCGGCGGGUGUGCCCUCUCGCCUCACCCGGCAGAUGGAUGGCCCCGCCGGCGGCCCCCCCUAACUCUGUUUUCUAUAGCAUUGGACUUCUGAAGAAAAAAAGUUAAUACGUUAAAACUUUCAACAACGGAUCUCUUGGUUCUGGCAUCGAUGAAGAACGCAGCGAAAUGCGAUAAGUAAUGUGAAUUGCAGAAUUCAGUGAAUCAUCGAAUCUUUGAACGCACAUUGCGCCCACCAGUAUUCUGGUGGGCAUGCCUGUUCGAGCGUCAUUUCAACCCUUAAGCCCUCGUCGCUUAGCGUUGGGAGCCUACCGGAACCCUCCUGGUAGCUCCCCAAAAUCAGUGGCGGAGCCGGCUCGCACUCCAGACGUAGUAGCUCUUACACGUCGCCUGUAGCGCGGACCGGUCCCCUGCCGUAAAACACCCCCCAUUCUGAUAGGUGACCUCGGAUCAGGUAGGA
This 538-nucleotide ribosomal RNA is filed under the name fungal endophyte sp. ECD-2008. RNAcentral's name for it is "eukaryotic LSU rRNA". The stretch from base 195 to 348 matches the Rfam family "5.8S ribosomal RNA". Lineage: Eukaryota; Fungi. The record is from RNAcentral.